RNAcentral lists this long non-coding RNA (898 nucleotides) under Canis lupus familiaris (dog). RNAcentral describes it as "lncRNA (ENSCAFG00000051637.1, ENSCAFG00845017236.1)". Lineage: Eukaryota; Metazoa; Chordata; Mammalia; Carnivora; Canidae. The record is from RNAcentral.
UAUGCAUAAUAGAUUUGUUCGGGAAAAGCUUCCAAUGACACACGUUGAAUCAAAUAUACAUAUUCAGUAUCCCAUCCCAGCAGCACCACCUAUUGUUGUCUGGUAGCUCUUGAACUAAACUUCACAAGUACCUCGUUUGUUUAUUUCUUUGGGCAUCUCUGUGAGGUCUUCAAUAUAUUAUAUAUUUUAUAGGUUAUAAGGGUUAAGUAUUAAGGCUGUGGUGACUUUUCCAAAGUUAUAAAUCUGUUCCGUAAAUAAAAUGAAUUUUUGUGCCACUUCAGACUUUCAUUUUAAUUGGUGAAAACAAACUGAACGGAGAAGCUAUAUGGUCAUAAAAAUGUGUAUGGACAUAAAAUAAUGCUUGGAAAAUAGAAUCCUAGUUGUAUCUGUAUCUUUUGGAAUUCACCACUAUCAUAUAUUAUUUAUCAAAUCUAUGUGGAAGUUUUCCCCCCAUGGGGUUUAAAAACACCUAUAAAACACAAAUAUUAUUACUUGCAUUUACAGGUAGAAGCUAAAACUCAAAAAGUGUCAAAUGGGGCUAUUAUGGCAUUAUUCCCAUAAGAGAGACAGGAAAUAUGUUUAUAGUAGAAAAUUCAAUGAAAUUAACAAAGGUAGGUAUGGAAUUUACUUAAUUUCUUUAAUUACCAAAUAAUGAACUACAGUCUAAGUCAAAUUUGCAAAAUCUUUUAUAAGAAAACACUAAAAUUAUAAACAAAAUGUAAAGUCAAAUGUUAAUCUUGUUUCUUCUGAAUGAAUAUGUGAGACAUGUGUCCUUAAACCAUCCUAGAGGAGGGGCGCCUGGGUGGCUCAGUCUGUUUGGCAUCUGCCUUUGGACCAGGUCGUGACCACUCUGCCACUCCCUCUGCUGCUACUCCUACUUGUGCUCUCUUACUCUUGC